Cucurbita moschata (crookneck pumpkin) is the source of this 2629-nucleotide RNA transcript. It is a transcript of the gene named probable E3 ubiquitin-protein ligase XBOS32, with no coding region annotated. The transcript is spliced from 12 exons. The record is from RefSeq and is a predicted model, not a curated record. Lineage: Eukaryota; Viridiplantae; Streptophyta; Magnoliopsida; Cucurbitales; Cucurbitaceae.
CAUCCUUCCUUGUGCUCUCAUCAUCGAGCAGUAUGAACAAAACUUGGCGCCCAAAUGUUGGAUUUGGCAUUCAACAACAAAGCUUGGAGGUACGAAUAAGUACUGACGAAGCUCAGGAAAUGGAGGGAAGCAAUCAUUUGGAGGAAUGAAUGGAGGCAAGCGCUGAAAUGGUGGGACAACGCCUGGAGAGGAAAACAACGAUUCAACUACCGAGUUGACUGAACAUAAUGUCUAAUCAUUGGGACACGCUUUCAGGCUGUGUAGGAAAAGGUCAUCGUCUCCAUUAAAACAAUUUCCCACUUGGGAUUUCUUCUUCACAUUCCCUUCUUUCUUUUAUGGAAAUUAUGAUUCAAUGUCGCUACAUUCUUCUAUAAUCAUCGUACCUUUCCUUCCUUCUUAGGCUAUCUUCUUUGAGAAGUUGCAGAGAUUUCCAGGUGGAAGUGCUUUCUCUGUUACUUCUCAGAACCACUUCUUGUUGGUAUGUUUCGAAAUUGCUUGUUACAUUUUCUCUGAAUCAGCGUCCGUGUUCCGAGAUUCUUUUGUUAUUGAUGAAAAUCGGGUAUUUGGAAUUGGGUUGCCUUUGAUUUCAUCAGCUACUUUUUGCUUCCCGACAUCUCGGAGUUCACGAAAUUUUGCUUCCCGACAGGUUAUGCUGGUUCGAACCUAGAUAUUCUCCUUUCUUUUUACUCGUCUAUCAUUAUCUUAGGUUGGUGAAUCUUGGGUUAGUGGAAUUCUAGCAGUUGCAACCAACCCUUUUGGAUGUCUGGAGAUUUCAAAUUUGGUUGUUAUUUGUUUGCUUGAAACGAAUAUAUAUAUAUAUAUUUAUUGGUGCAUGGAUAGGUCGCUUUUCCAUCCAUACUUUAAGGAGUUUUCUGAUGUAAAUUUGCAUUUUAAGGAGUUUUCUGGAGCUUCGAAGCUGUUAGUUUCUUAACAUUUGAAUGCCAUGAAACUUUUAAGCGCUGUGGUAAACUCCUUUGGAUGUUCUGCAUCUGGGGAACGUUUAGUUUCAGCUGCAAGAGAUGGGGAUUUUCAAGAAGCGCAGGCUUUGUUGGAGUGUAAUCCUCGGUUGGCACGCUACUCUACUUUUGGUGUUCGCAAUUCCCCCCUCCACUUCUCUGCUGCUCAUGGCCAUCACGAGAUAGUCCAUCUUUUGCUUCAGUCUGGAGUUGACAUUGAUUUAAGGAACUAUAGGGGUCAGACUGCUUUGAUGCAAGCUUGUCAACAUGGUCGUUGGGAAGUUGUUUUGAUUUUAGUACUUUUUGGAGCCAACGUCCAUAAAGCAGAUUACUUGAAUGGAGGCACUGCACUUCAUCUAGCUGCUACAAAUGGUCAUUCCCGGUGCAUCAGGCUUCUUCUUGCUGAUUAUAUUCCAAGUAUACCGAAUUUUAGGGAACUAAUGAGUCAAAUAAGAGAUAAUGAAGAACCAAUCUCAGAGUUUGAUCACAAGGCCUUGUCUCAGUUUAUCAACCAAUCAGCAGAUGGAGGCAUUACCGCCCUACACAUGGCGGCUCUUAAUGCGCAAGCUGAAAGCGUGCAGUUACUUCUGGAAUUUGGGGCAUCUGUUUCUGAGGUGACUAUAGGCGAUGGAACCGUAAUUGAUCUAAUAGGUCCAGGGAGUACAGCUCUUCAUUAUGCUGCAUGCGGUGGUAAUGCAAAAUGUUGUAAACUUUUGAUUGCAUGGGGUGCCAGCCUGACCACUGAAAAUCAAAAUGGUUGGACACCUUUGAUGGUCGCUCGCUCAUGGCAUAAAAGUUGGCUCGAGGACAUUCUCUCCACAGAGCCUGUAGGCCGGCCAAAACUUAUUCCUUCUCGUUAUCUAUCUCUGCCCCUUAUGAGUAUUGUUCAAAUUGCUAGAGAAUAUGGAUGGAAUAGUAAGUCUGCCCCUGGAUGCCAGGAUCCAUGCGUUGUCUGUUUAGAGAGGAAGUGCACGGUAGCUGCCGAAGGUUGUGAUCAUGAAUUCUGUACUAGAUGUGCCUUAUACCUCUGUUCUACAAAUUGCGGGACAACCAUUUCUCGUGGCCCUCCAGGUUCAGUUUCUUGUCCGCUCUGUCGCAAUGGCAUAGUGUCAUUCGUUAAGCUUCCUGAAAAAGCACUCGUUAAGGAAGUUGCAAGAACAAGUUUUUUACUUCCAAUAGGCCAACGUUCUCACGAGACACCAUCAAAAGCUACCCCCUUAACCUCCCAGCUUCGAUCGCUUGAGUUGUGUCAUGUCGACGACACUUCUCUGGGAGUUUCCUUUUGUUGCCAGAGACUUCCAUCAAUCAAUCUCUGUCGUGAAACGCCGAAUAUAUGUCACUCUUUAGUUCCACGUUGUGUCAACCGGAACUUGCAGAACCACUUGGCCAGAUAUUAAAGGCGAGGGCUCCAAUAAUCAACUUAUCACAGAAUCACUUUCGUGUCGUUGUUUUGGACGACGGAGAUGGAUCUCUUCUUGUACGUUCCUGAAAAAAGAAAAGGAAGCACGGAUGCAACUCCUCCAGUUGAUUUGUUUUUGUAGUCGGAUCUUGCUUUAAGCGUGGCUGCUCCUUUCAAUGCUGCAAAAGAAAGAACAAGAUUUGACAUUGAUUAUUAACCCAACACAAGAUUCCAAAGCUGGAAUAUCAGAAGGAGUAUAUUUUACAUGUGGCAG